UGGGGAAUCCUGCGCAAUGGGCGAAAGCCUGACGCAGCCAUGCCGCGUGAAUGAUGAAGGUCUUCGGUUUGUAAAAUUCUUUCACCGGGGACGAUAAUGACGGUACCUGGAUAAGAAGCCCCGGCUAACUUCGUGCCAGCAGCCGCAGUAAUACGAAUGGGGCUAGCGUUGUCCGGAUUUACUGGGCGUAAAGGGAGCGUAGGCGGACAUUUAAGUCAGAGGUGAAAUCCCGGGGCUCAACCUCGGGAUUGCCUUUGAUACUGGGUGUCUUGAGUGUGAGAGAGGUAAGUGGAACUCCGAGUGUAGAGGUGAAAUGCGUAGAUAUUAGGAAGAACACCAGUGGCGAAGGCGACAUACUGGAUGAUAACUGACGCUGAGGCUCGAAAGCGUGGGGAGCAAACA
This 402-nucleotide ribosomal RNA is filed under the name uncultured bacterium. RNAcentral's name for it is "bacterial SSU rRNA". It matches the Rfam family "Bacterial small subunit ribosomal RNA", at positions 355 to 774 of the family's 1533-position model. The record is from RNAcentral.